This is a long non-coding RNA of Rhipicephalus microplus (southern cattle tick), 360 nucleotides long. The record is from RefSeq and is a predicted model, not a curated record. Lineage: Eukaryota; Metazoa; Arthropoda; Arachnida; Ixodida; Ixodidae.
GACGGUGUUUUCCGCGACCAUUUCCACGGCGUCUUUCGCUACCAUCUCCAUGGCCGUAAUGUUGUUCCAGACACGGUCCCAGGCACUCGUGAAGCUUGGUGAUGACCCACCAGGGCGUUCAACAGACUCCUCAAACGUUAAACAAUUGCCGUCGCAAAUAUAUUAUAAUCAACGUAGAGGAGCAUCAUAGCUCUCCAAUCUUCAAUAUUAACAGAGGAAGCAUCAACUUCUGGGACAAGCACACUGCGUCCAUCUCGAAAACUGGAUGAAAAGACACCGUCCUCGUAACAUCGCCGGAUAACCAUGGUGAAGGUAUUACCAAUGUCAUUUCAAAAUGUGAAAUAAAGUUCGACAAGAAAA